Molecule: unclassified non-coding RNA, 522 nt
Filed under: Hevea brasiliensis (rubber tree)
Lineage: Eukaryota; Viridiplantae; Streptophyta; Magnoliopsida; Malpighiales; Euphorbiaceae
Source: RNAcentral
CUCUCUCUCCCUCUCUCUCUCUCACACACACACGCGCGUGCUAGCGCGCAUGCGCGCGAAUUCCACAAUGCAGCAAAAAAUGGGCCAACAGUGAAAAACAACUUCAUGUAUUAGCAAACAAAUAGAUCAGCAGAACUGGUGACUGUAAGCCGUGAUUUUAGUUCUAAAAUUCUCCCGAGGAAAACACCUAACAAGGUGUGAUAUCAACUAGACUUAUGUUAGACCAUUCAUAUUUAUAACAUCAAGAACAUUAGCAUCAAUGUUUUUAAAAUCCAAAAUAAAAAAGAAAUGAUGUUAAAAAAAAAAACUUAAAAAACAUGAUCCUAUAUUCCUACCAAAUAGCAAUAAUACCUAAAGCAACCGAAGACAUCCAUCAUGGCUUUUGAAAAGGGUUAUGAAAGGUGAAAGGCAUUCACAAAAGGAGAAAACUAGAUGACAAAAAAAUGAACCAAGAGAUGGGCAGCAGAAACAAAACUCGCAGAAUGAAGGAAAGAGGUUGGGUUGGGGUGGGGGGGGGGGGGG